GGGUGGAGCAGUCUGGUAGCUCGUCGGGCUCAUAACCCGAAGGUCAUCGGUUCAAAUCCGGUCCC
This 65-nucleotide transfer RNA is filed under the name Halomonas sp. RNAcentral describes it as "tRNA-Met". It matches the Rfam family "tRNA", at positions 5 to 66 of the family's 71-position model. Rfam says of the family: Transfer RNA (tRNA) molecules are approximately 80 nucleotides in length. Their secondary structure includes four short double-helical elements and three loops (D, anti-codon, and T loops). The record is from RNAcentral. Lineage: Bacteria; Pseudomonadati; Pseudomonadota; Gammaproteobacteria; Oceanospirillales; Halomonadaceae.